RNAcentral lists this ribosomal RNA (484 nucleotides) under uncultured bacterium. RNAcentral's name for it is "partial 16S ribosomal RNA". It matches the Rfam family "Bacterial small subunit ribosomal RNA", at positions 30 to 507 of the family's 1533-position model. The record is from RNAcentral.
AUUGAACGCUGGCGGCAGGCCUAACACAUGCAAGUCGAGCGGAUGAAGCGAGCUUGCUCCUGGAUUCAGCGGCGGACGGGUGAGUAAUGCAUAGGAAUCUGCCUGGUAGUGGGGGAUAACGUCCGGAAACGGGCGCUAAUACCGCAUACGUCCUGAGGGAGAAAGUGGGGGAUCUUCGGACCUCACGCUAUCAGAUGAGCCUAGGUCGGAUUAGCUAGUUGGUGGGGUAAACGCCUACCAAGCAGACGAUUCGUAACUGGUCGGAGAGGAUGAUCAGUCACACUGGAACUGAGACACGGUCCAGACUCCUACGAGAGGCAGCAGUGGGGAAUAUUGGACAAUGGGCGAAAGCCUGAUCCAGUCAUGCCGCGUGUGUGAAGAAGGUCUUCGGAUUGUAAAGCUCUUUAAGGUGGGAGGAAGGGCAGUAAGUUAAUACCUUGCUGUUUUGACGUUACCAACAGAAUAAGCACCGGCUAACUUCGUG